Molecule: ribosomal RNA, 1427 nt
Filed under: metagenome
Description: bacterial SSU rRNA
Rfam family: Archaeal small subunit ribosomal RNA
Source: RNAcentral
GUUGAUCCUGCGGGAGAUCGCUGCUAUUUGGGUUCGAUUUAGCCAUGCAAGUCUGGGGGAUUUAUCCACCGGCGAAAUGCUCAGUAACACGUCGAUAACUUGCCCUUAGGUCAGGGAUAACCUUGGGAAACUGAGGCUAACACCUGAUAGGAAAUUUGUUCUGGAAAUGAUAUAUUUCUUAAAAGCAAUGCCUAAGGAUAGGUCGGCGGCGGAUUAGGCUGUUGGUGAGGUAACGGCUCACCAAACCGAAGAUCUGUAGGGGCUCUGAGAGGAGUAGCCCCGAGAAGGGCACUGAGACACUGGCCCUAGCCCUACGGGGUGCAGCAGGCGCGAAACCUUUACAAUGCACGCAAGUGUGAUAAGGGAACCCAAAGUGCUUAGCUUUGCUAGGCUUUUGCCAAGAGUAAAUAUCUUGGAGAAUAAGCGGUGGGAAAGACUGGUGCCAGCCGCCGCGGUAACACCAGCGCCGCUAGUGGGGAUCGUAUUUAUUUGGCCUAAAGCGUCCGUAGCUGGCUUGGUAAAUCUCUUGUGAAAUUGUUCGGCUCAACCGAACAGCGUGCAGGAGAGACUGCCAUAGCUAGGGACCGGGAGGAGUCAGAGGUAUGCCUUGGGGAGCGGUAAAAUGCUAUAAUCCUCGGUAGAUCACCUGUGGCGAAGGCGUCUGACUAGAACGGGUCCGACAGUGAGGGACGAAAGCCAGGGGAGCAAACCGGAUUAGAUACCCGAGUAGUCCUGGCCGUAAACGCUGUGAGUUAGGUGUUGCGUAAUCUCCGUGAUUACGCAGUGUCGAAGCGAAGGUGUUAAACUCACCGCCUGGGAAGUAUGGUCGCAAGACUGAAACUUAAAGGAAUUGGCGGGGGAGCACUACAAGGGGUGCGGCGUGCGGUUUAAUCUAACUCCACACAGAGAAUCUCACCAGAGGCGACGGCAGGAUGAAGGUCAGUCUGAAGGGCUUACCUGACGAGCCGAGAGGUAGUGCAUGGCCGCCGUCAGCUCGUGCCGUAAGGUGUCUUGUUAAGUCAAGCAACGAGCGAGACCUGUAUUCACAAUUGCUAACGACUCAUUUUGAGAAUCGAGCACAUUGUGAGGACUGCCCUGGAAACAGGGAGGAAGGUGCAGGCAACGGUAGGUCUGUAUGCUCCGAAUCUUCUGGGCUACACGCGCGCAACAAUGGUAUAGACAAUGGGUUGCAACUCCGAAAGGAGAAGCUAAACCUCGAAACUAUAUCUUAGUUCGGAUUGAGGGCUGUAACUCGCCCUCAUGACGCUGGAAUCCCUAGUAAUCGAACGUCAUCAGCGUUCGGUGAAUAUGUCCCUGCUCCUUGCACACACCGCCCGUCAAACCACCCGAGUAGGGUCUAGAUGAGGACUAAUUUUUAAUUAGGUCGAAUCUAAGCUUUGCGAGGAGGGUUAAGUCGUCACAAGGUA